RNAcentral lists this ribosomal RNA (486 nucleotides) under uncultured bacterium. Its description in RNAcentral is "partial 16S ribosomal RNA". It matches the Rfam family "Bacterial small subunit ribosomal RNA", at positions 30 to 507 of the family's 1533-position model. The record is from RNAcentral.
AUUGAACGCUGGCGGCAUGCCUUACACAUGCAAGUCGAACGGCAGCACGGGUGCUUGCACCUGGUGGCGAGUGGCGAACGGGUGAGUAAUACAUCGGAACAUGUCCUGUAGUGGGGGAUAGCCCGGCGAAAGCCGGAUUAAUACCGCAUACGAUCCACGGAUGAAAGCGGGGGACCUUCGGGCCUCGCGCUAUAGGGUUGGCCGAUGGCUGAUUAGCUAGUUGGUGGGGUAAAGGCCUACCGAGGCGACGAUCAGUAGCUGGUCUGAGAGGACGACCAGCCACACUGGGACUGAGACACGGCCCAGACUCCUACGGGAGGCAGCAGUGGGGAAUUUUGGACAAUGGGCGAAAGCCUGAUCCAGCAAUGCCGCGUGUGUGAAGAAGGCCUUCGGGUUGUAAAGCACUUUUGUCCGGAAAGAAAUCCUUGACUCUAAUACAGUCGGGGGAUGACGGUACCGGAAGAAUAAGCACCGGCUAACUACGUG